GGCUCAGGAUGAACGCUAGCUACAGGCUUAACACAUGCAAGUCGAGGGGCAUCAGGAAGAAAGCUUGCUUUCUUUGCUGGCGACCGGCGCACGGGUGAGUAACACGUAUCCAACCUGCCCUUUACUCGGGGAUAGCCUUUCGAAAGAAAGAUUAAUACCCGAUAGCAUAAUGAUUCCGCAUGGUUUCAUUAUUAAAGGAUUCCGGUAAAGGAUGGGGAUGCGUUCCAUUAGGUUGUUGGUGAGGUAACGGCCCACCAAGCCUUCGAUGGAUAGGGGUUCUGAGAGGAAGGUCCCCCACAUUGGAACUGAGACACGGUCCAAACUCCUACGGGAGGCAGCAGUGAGGAAUAUUGGUCAAUGGGCGCUAGCCUGAACCAGCCAAGUAGCGUGAAGGAUGAAGGCUCUAUGGGUCGUAAACUUCUUUUAUAUAAGAAUAAAGUGCAGUAUGUAUACUGUUUUGUAUGUAUUAUAUGAAUAAGGAUCGGCUAACUCCGUGCCAGCAGCCGCGGUAAUACGGAGGAUCCGAGCGUUAUCCGGAUUUAUUGGGUUUAAAGGGAGCGUAGGUGGACUGGUAAGUCAGUUGUGAAAGUUUGCGGCUCAACCGUAAAAUUGCAGUUGAUACUGUCAGUCUUGAGUACAGUAGAGGUGGGCGGAAUUCGUGGUGUAGCGGUGAAAUGCUUAGAUAUCACGAAGAACUCCGAUUGCGAAGGCAGCUCACUGGACUGCAACUGACACUGAUGCUCGAAAGUGUGGGUAUCAAACAGGAUUAGAUACCCUGGUAGUCCACACAGUAAACGAUGAAUACUCGCUGUUUGCGAUAUACAGUAAGCGGCCAAGCGAAAGCAUUAAGUAUUCCACCUGGGGAGUACGCCGGCAACGGUGAAACUCAAAGGAAUUGACGGGGGCCCGCACAAGCGGAGGAACAUGUGGUUUAAUUCGAUGAUACGCGAGGAACCUUACCCGGGCUUAAAUUGCAGUGGAAUGAUGUGGAAACAUGUCAGUGAGCAAUCACCGCUGUGAAGGUGCUGCAUGGUUGUCGUCAGCUCGUGCCGUGAGGUGUCGGCUUAAGUGCCAUAACGAGCGCAACCCUUAUCUUUAGUUACUAACAGGUUAUGCUGAGGACUCUGGAGAGACUGCCGUCGUAAGAUGUGAGGAAGGUGGGGAUGACGUCAAAUCAGCACGGCCCUUACGUCCGGGGCUACACACGUGUUACAAUGGGGGGUACAGAAGGCAGCUACCUGGUGACAGGAUGCUAAUCCCAAAAGCCUCUCUCAGUUCGGAUCGAAGUCUGCAACCCGACUUCGUGAAGCUGGAUUCGCUAGUAAUCGCGCAUCAGCCACGGCGCGGUGAAUACGUUCCCGGGCCUUGUACACACCGCCCGUCAAGCCAUGGGAGCCGGGGGUACCUGAAGUACGUAACCGCAAGGAUCGUCCUAGGGUAAAACUGGU
RNAcentral lists this ribosomal RNA (1448 nucleotides) under uncultured organism. RNAcentral describes it as "SSU rRNA". It matches the Rfam family "Bacterial small subunit ribosomal RNA". The record is from RNAcentral.